This is a long non-coding RNA of Mustela putorius furo (domestic ferret), 1760 nucleotides long. Lineage: Eukaryota; Metazoa; Chordata; Mammalia; Carnivora; Mustelidae. The record is from Ensembl.
UGGGAUGCUCACUUCUUUGGACUGACAUCAUGGUCAAUAUACUUAGAGCCUGAAGCAGGCAGUCACCCUGGGCUCCACAGACUGGAGAAGGAAGGUCAAGGAAAGAUCACACAGGAGGCCAGGUUCAGGUCAAGAUCAGGCAAUUGUCCUCCAGAGGGUCCAAAAGCAAACCUACGGUUCUCCUAAAGUCAAAGAACAUGAGACGAAAGGCAAAUGAUUUAGUAUAGUUGACAUCCCCCUCCACUACAUUAUUCCUUUAACAUCUGGAUUUUAGAAACAUACCAUUAUCACCUACUGUGGCUUCAUGCACACACACAGCCCUUUUCAUUCAUACUGGCACAGCCCUGGGAAGAUGAUAAAAGUGUGUGUAUUACUAAUCAGACACCAAUAUGUAGGGGUACAGCCCAUGCUCAUUGGUGCUUGCUCACGGACAGGUGGGGGCAGAAAGUGAAAUAUCCACAAUCAGGCAUAUAGACAAUGAUGCCACACUCAAGGCACACAACCUUGGGCACCUAGACUAUAACCUCACACUCUUGCACACAUAACUACAGCCCUAGAAGCUCUAUACAAACGCACAGAAUUAGCAGAAUUAGAAAUUCCUAGCGGAAUUUAACAUUGGGGGGGGGUGAAAGGUGAACACAGUGUUAGACACCCUCACGCAGACUGCGCACGAAGAGGGAAUAAACACCUAUACCAAGAACACCUACACCGAGAACGAGCGCCCAGACGCGGGCCGUACCCAGAGCCGCCGACAGAGGGCGCUCCAGCGAGGUGGUGCCGGACCAGAAGCCUGGGACCCAGCAGGGCACUCCCGCCGCUGACAUUUCCGUUACCGCGCGCGGCCCCUCGUCCCCGCGGUGUUGGGAAGUUCCUGGGGUCCCGCCGAGUUUCAGAAGGGCGCAGAUUCCCAUGCUAACUUUCUCUGUAGUUUCUGCGGGCGGGAGAGCUGGAAACCCGGGCGAGAGCGGCGGAGCUUCCCAACCGCACACUUCCUCCGCCUGUCCCAUCCAGAGAGGGCGGGCGCUGCUGACUCGGCAGUCCCACUGGUUAUCCCACCUGGUGCUCCGGCUGGGCGGAGACCCGAGACCGCUCAGAGCGCCCUCUCCCAUCUCCUCUGCCGUGUGGGCUUCAAGUGAAGCAGAGGGUCUCCUCAACUUAAGAAAGCGAGGCUUCCUGUAUCUAAGACAAGACGUAUGUAGAUAUGAACAAAAAUGCCUCACCUGCAGCGUGGUCUGUAGUGAUACCUACCUGUGGUUAUUGGAACCCAGCCUGCUGGACCAAAGAAAGGAAGUCGGCCAGGCAGAUGUGAAAUCCAAAAGAGGACUUUCAUCCACUGCUAUCAACAGCUCUACCACCACAUGCCCCCAUGGAUUUUUUGGGAAGUAUUUUUGUGGUUUACCAGUCUCUCACUAGGCAGGGCCAUUGUCCUGGGUUGACCUUAUCCGCUGGUGGAAAGUACAGCUGGGACAUUUGGAAUGGUUACAGUUUGACUUUGAUUCUUGGCAGCUCACUGUCACUCUGAAGUUUUUUGGUGAGACCUUGAACCAAAUUUUGUUGUUGAGGAUUGCAGGUUGCCUCCUAAUCUUGGGGGACAUUUUGAGUCAUAACUGGCAGCAGCUUUUUGAUGACAACUCCAGCAAGCUCAGAGGAGAAGCCAUCUCUCUCUCUUAUAGGAAUAUGACUUUGGGUAAAUCACUUUGAACUCUGGACCUGUGGGUGUGAUCUAUACUCCCACUGAGCUCUGAUUUGCAGUGUGAGGC